UACGGAGGGGGCUAGCGUUGUUCGGAAUCAUUGGGCGUAAAGCGCGUUAAGGCGGUUGGCAAAGUUGGUUGUGAAAUCUCAGGGCUCAACCCUGAAAUUGCGACCAAUACUGGUCGACUAGAGUGUGAGAGAGGAAGGUGGAAUUCCCGGUGUAGUAGUGAAAUGCGUAGAUAUCGGGAGGAACACCAGUGGCGAAGGCGGCUACCUGGCACAUAACUGACGCUGAUACGCGAAAGCGUGGGGAGCGAACCGG
RNAcentral lists this ribosomal RNA (253 nucleotides) under uncultured bacterium. Its description in RNAcentral is "partial 16S ribosomal RNA". It matches the Rfam family "Bacterial small subunit ribosomal RNA", at positions 524 to 776 of the family's 1533-position model. The record is from RNAcentral.